Molecule: ribosomal RNA, 432 nt
Filed under: uncultured bacterium
Lineage: Bacteria
Description: partial 16S ribosomal RNA
Rfam family: Bacterial small subunit ribosomal RNA
Source: RNAcentral
AACGAACGCUGGCGGCAGGCCUAACACAUGCAAGUCGAGCGAGAUCUUCGGGUCUAGCGGCGGACGGGUGAGUAACGCGUGGGAAUAUGCCUCUUGGUACGGAAUAGCCUCGGGAAACUGGGAGUAAUACCGUAUGUGCCCUUUGGGGGAAAGAUUUAUCGCCAAGAGAUUAGCCCGCGUUGGAUUAGGUAGUUGGUGGGGUAAUGGCCUACCAAGCCGACGAUCCAUAGCUGGUUUGAGAGGAUGAUCAGCCACACUGGGACUGAGACACGGCCCAGACGCCUACGGGAGGCAGCAGUGGGGAAUCUUAGACAAUGGGGGCAACCCUGAUCUAGCCAUGCCGCGUGAGUGAUGAAGGCCUUAGGGUUGUAAAGCUCUUUCAGCUGGGAAGAUAAUGACGGUACCAGCAGAAGAAGCCCCGGCUAACUCCGU